GACCUAUUUUUAUACCUUAAAGAAAUGCCAUUAAUUAAUGUGUGUUAGAUGAUUAAAUAUGUUAGUGGAGGAUAUAAUGAUUCAACACCUAGUGCAACAUUCCACUACAUUUAUUCCCUCCCCCUCUUAUGAUGAAAGAAUAAAGGAUGUCUAGAAUAGAAUCUAGAGUAAUCAUAAAAUGAAAGUAGUCUAAACAAUAUCUUGGUUUAACUUGUCAAAAUAAACCAGAAACUUUGAUUGACCAAAACUAAGUCAUAACGAACUCGGAUUGAGUUGAACCAAAAAGAGAAAGUGUUCAUCUUGACGUCAUCUAUCUACCCUCAAAAUUUCACAGCGAUCGGAUUAGAUUUGACCACCAAAACGUUGUUUGGAGUAAGCUGGCCUCUAUUUGGACGAAAAUUCAUAUAUAGCAUUAUUUAAUACUUCCUUUGAUUUGAACAACUCAUCACCCACUUCCUCUAAUGUGUGCACUCAUCACCACAAGUGUUGCCCACAUCCCACAUCUAGAAUGCACCACCUUAGUGAUGAUGAAACCCAUGUGCCUUGGAAAUAAGGCUAAGAUGCACCAAUUCCCAUCCAUUGGAUCAAAAUGUGUCUACUUGAUCCUAACCAUUCAUUCUCUUAUAAAUAGAACCAAGGUGGAAGAUGCAAUGCCCAUUAAGCUUCACUCACACACACACCUAAGGCCAAGAGAGAAAAUUGUGGGAUUUGUGUAGUCUUGUGUUGUUCAAGGCUUGAAGUGUAUGCUAGGAAGUAUUUUGGAAAAGAAGUUUAAAGGAACUACACGAAGAAGAGUGUUAAUAGAUAAAGACCAGAGCUCAAGAGGUUUUAUAGCUAAUGACGCAUAGUUUAUAUUUUGUUUGUAGUCUUCUGUGUUUAUAGUAUUUUAUGUUGACAAGAUUGCUAAUGAUUUAUAUGUAUUCUUUUGUGUCAUU
This is a long non-coding RNA of Alnus glutinosa, 935 nucleotides long. RefSeq lists it as uncharacterized. The transcript is spliced from 3 exons. The record is from RefSeq and is a predicted model, not a curated record. NCBI's taxonomy places the organism in Eukaryota, Viridiplantae, Streptophyta, Magnoliopsida, Fagales, Betulaceae.